AGCGUACACGGUGGAUGCCCUGGCAGUCAGAGGCGAUGAAGGACGUGCUAAUCUGCGAUAAGCGUCGGUAAGGUGAUAUGAACCGUUAUAACCGGCGAUUUCCGAAUGGGGAAACCCAGUGUGUUUCGACACACUAUCAUUAACUGAAUCCAUAGGUUAAUGAGGCGAACCGGGGGAACUGAAACAUCUAAGUACCCCGAGGAAAAGAAAUCAACCGAGAUUCCCCCAGUAGCGGCGAGCGAACGGGGAGCAGCCCAGAGCCUGAAUCAGUGUGUGUGUUAGUGGAAGCGUCUGGAAAGGCGUGCGAUACAGGGUGACAGCCCCGUACACAAAAAUGCACAUGCUGUGAGCUCGAUGAGUAGGGCGGGACACGUGGUAUCCUGUCUGAAUAUGGGGGGACCAUCCUCCAAGGCUAAAUACUCCUGACUGACCGAUAGUGAACCAGUACCGUGAGGGAAAGGCGAAAAGAACCCCGGCGAGGGGAGUGAAAAAGAACCUGAAACCGUGUACGUACAAGCAGUGGGAGCACGCUUAGGCGUGUGACUGCGUACCUUUUGUAUAAUGGGUCAGCGACUUAUAUUCUGUAGCAAGGUUAACCGAAUAGGGGAGCCGAAGGGAAACCGAGUCUUAACUGGGCGUUAAGUUGCAGGGUAUAGACCCGAAACCCGGUGAUCUAGCCAUGGGCAGGUUGAAGGUUGGGUAACACUAACUGGAGGACCGAACCGACUAAUGUUGAAAAAUUAGCGGAUGACUUGUGGCUGGGGGUGAAAGGCCAAUCAAACCGGGAGAUAGCUGGUUCUCCCCGAAAGCUAUUUAGGUAGCGCCUCGUGAAUUCAUCUCCGGGGGUAGAGCACUGUUUCGGCAAGGGGGUCAUCCCGACUUACCAACCCGAUGCAAACUGCGAAUACCGGAGAAUGUUAUCACGGGAGACACACGGCGGGUGCUAACGUCCGUCGUGAAGAGGGAAACAACCCAGACCGCCAGCUAAGGUCCCAAAGUCAUGGUUAAGUGGGAAACGAUGUGGGAAGGCCCAGACAGCCAGGAUGUUGGCUUAGAAGCAGCCAUCAUUUAAAGAAAGCGUAAUAGCUCACUGGUCGAGUCGGCCUGCGCGGAAGAUGUAACGGGGCUAAACCAUGCACCGAAGCUGCGGCAGCGACACUAUGUGUUGUUGGGUAGGGGAGCGUUCUGUAAGCCUGUGAAGGUGUACUGUGAGGUAUGCUGGAGGUAUCAGAAGUGCGAAUGCUGACAUAAGUAACGAUAAAGCGGGUGAAAAGCCCGCUCGCCGGAAGACCAAGGGUUCCUGUCCAACGUUAAUCGGGGCAGGGUGAGUCGACCCCUAAGGCGAGGCCGAAAGGCGUAGUCGAUGGGAAACAGGUUAAUAUUCCUGUACUUGGUGUUACUGCGAAGGGGGGACGGAGAAGGCUAUGUUGGCCGGGCGACGGUUGUCCCGGUUUAAGCGUGUAGGCUGGUUUUCCAGGCAAAUCCGGAAAAUCAAGGCUGAGGCGUGAUGACGAGGCACUACGGUGCUGAAGCAACAAAUGCCCUGCUUCCAGGAAAAGCCUCUAAGCAUCAGGUAACAUCAAAUCGUACCCCAAACCGACACAGGUGGUCAGGUAGAGAAUACCAAGGCGCUUGAGAGAACUCGGGUGAAGGAACUAGGCAAAAUGGUGCCGUAACUUCGGGAGAAGGCACGCUGAUAUGUAGGUGAAGCGACUUGCUCGUGGAGCUGAAAUCAGUCGAAGAUACCAGCUGGCUGCAACUGUUUAUUAAAAACACAGCACUGUGCAAACACGAAAGUGGACGUAUACGGUGUGACGCCUGCCCGGUGCCGGAAGGUUAAUUGAUGGGGUUAGCCGCAAGGCGAAGCUCUUGAUCGAAGCCCCGGUAAACGGCGGCCGUAACUAUAACGGUCCUAAGGUAGCGAAAUUCCUUGUCGGGUAAGUUCCGACCUGCACGAAUGGCGUAAUGAUGGCCAGGCUGUCUCCACCCGAGACUCAGUGAAAUUGAACUCGCUGUGAAGAUGCAGUGUACCCGCGGCAAGACGGAAAGACCCCGUGAACCUUUACUAUAGCUUGACACUGAACAUUGAGCCUUGAUGUGUAGGAUAGGUGGGAGGCUUUGAAGUGUGGACGCCAGUCUGCAUGGAGCCGACCUUGAAAUACCACCCUUUAAUGUUUGAUGUUCUAACGUUGACCCGUAAUCCGGGUUGCGGACAGUGUCUGGUGGGUAGUUUGACUGGGGCGGUCUCCUCCUAAAGAGUAACGGAGGAGCACGAAGGUUGGCUAAUCCUGGUCGGACAUCAGGAGGUUAGUGCAAUGGCAUAAGCCAGCUUGACUGCGAGCGUGACGGCGCGAGCAGGUGCGAAAGCAGGUCAUAGUGAUCCGGUGGUUCUGAAUGGAAGGGCCAUCGCUCAACGGAUAAAAGGUACUCCGGGGAUAACAGGCUGAUACCGCCCAAGAGUUCAUAUCGACGGCGGUGUUUGGCACCUCGAUGUCGGCUCAUCACAUCCUGGGGCUGAAGUAGGUCCCAAGGGUAUGGCUGUUCGCCAUUUAAAGUGGUACGCGAGCUGGGUUUAGAACGUCGUGAGACAGUUCGGUCCCUAUCUGCCGUGGGCGCUGGAGAACUGAGGGGGGCUGCUCCUAGUACGAGAGGACCGGAGUGGACGCAUCACUGGUGUUCGGGUUGUCAUGCCAAUGGCACUGCCCGGUAGCUAAAUGCGGAAGAGAUAAGUGCUGAAAGCAUCUAAGCACGAAACUUGCCCCGAGAUGAGUUCUCCCUGACUCCUUGA
RNAcentral lists this ribosomal RNA (2788 nucleotides) under Escherichia coli. RNAcentral describes it as "bacterial LSU rRNA". It matches the Rfam family "Bacterial large subunit ribosomal RNA". The record is from RNAcentral. Lineage: Bacteria; Pseudomonadati; Pseudomonadota; Gammaproteobacteria; Enterobacterales; Enterobacteriaceae.